This 250-nucleotide ribosomal RNA is filed under the name uncultured bacterium. RNAcentral describes it as "partial 16S ribosomal RNA". It matches the Rfam family "Bacterial small subunit ribosomal RNA", at positions 100 to 353 of the family's 1533-position model. The record is from RNAcentral.
GGACGGGUGAGUAAUGUCUGGGAAACUGCCCGGUGGAGGGGGAUAACUACUGGAAACGGUAGCUAAUAACGCAUAACGUCUUCGGACCAAAGUGGGGGAUCUUCGGGCCUCUUGCCAUCAGAUGUGCCCAGAUGGGAUUAGCUAGUAGGUGGGGUAACGGCUCACCUAGGCGACGAUCCCUAGCUGGUCUGAGAGGGUGAUCGGCCACACUGGAACUGAGACACGGUCCAGACUCCUACGGGAGGCAGCA